Molecule: long non-coding RNA, 276 nt
Filed under: Ananas comosus (pineapple)
Lineage: Eukaryota; Viridiplantae; Streptophyta; Magnoliopsida; Poales; Bromeliaceae
Description: long non-coding RNA (ACOM_LNC000970)
Source: RNAcentral
UUCAGUUUAGGUUUGCAAAGGAAUUAAUUAGAAUUCGGAUUGGAGUACGUGAGGAAAAUUUCUUGUUGACGGGAUGAUGAUGAUUUAUUUUAUGAGUGGUACUAAAAGUAUUGGAACUGCAGAAAUGGCGGUAUUGGAAUUUAUGAAGUUUUGAGUAUUAACAUUUAGCAGCAUCUAUUGAUAUGAAUUUGGGGAAUACUGCCCUGGUGAUAGAAUUAGAUAUGGUACUAAAACUGUAACACACUGGACCUUUGCAAAUUCCGAGGUUCGAGUGUU